UGCUUGGCUCUGAGAACUGAAUUCCAUAGGCGUUGAAGCCUCCAAAAUGCCCUAUGGAUUCAGUUCUGCAGC
Molecule: microRNA precursor, 72 nt
Organism: Lonchura striata (white-rumped munia)
Lineage: Eukaryota; Metazoa; Chordata; Aves; Passeriformes; Estrildidae
Source: Ensembl